RNAcentral lists this ribosomal RNA (253 nucleotides) under uncultured bacterium. RNAcentral describes it as "partial 16S ribosomal RNA". It matches the Rfam family "Bacterial small subunit ribosomal RNA", at positions 524 to 776 of the family's 1533-position model. The record is from RNAcentral.
UACGGAGGGGGCUAGCGUUGUUCGGAAUUACUGGGCGUAAAGCGCACGUAGGCGGUUUAUCAAGUCAGAUGUGAAAGCCCCGGGCUCAACCCGGGAAUAGCAUUUGAUACUGAUUGACUAGAGGCCGGGAGAGGGUAGUGGAAUUCCCAGUGUAGAGGUGAAAUUCGUAGAUAUUGGGAAGAACACCGGUGGCGAAGGCGGCUACCUGGACCGGACCUGACGCUGAGGUGCGAAAGCGUGGGGAGCAAACAGG